CAGUGGUGCACGCUCGGUGACAUUGUAAGGUACCAGACUUCUAAAAUUAUGAAGUUACGGUGUACAUUUGGUUGGAAAGCCAUUUGAAUGGUUCCGAUGAAGUUCAGUGAAGUUCGAGAGUAUUCGGGCGUUUCAGUGCGCGUAGGCGCGAAAACAGAACCCAAAAGGCUAUGUUGGACCGAGAACUAAAUCUGACAUUAGCGUGGAUGAAAAGAGGAUUUAAAUACGUUCGAAAAUAUGUUUUGAGAGUCUCAGUUCGAUUUGAAAAGAAUCAGAUGCCAAACGAGUGAAAAUGAGCGAAAACGGACCCCAAAACUGAAA
This 321-nucleotide long non-coding RNA is filed under the name Ananas comosus (pineapple). RNAcentral describes it as "long non-coding RNA (ACOM_LNC034843)". Lineage: Eukaryota; Viridiplantae; Streptophyta; Magnoliopsida; Poales; Bromeliaceae. The record is from RNAcentral.